UUCUUAUACCCUUAAUUAUAAGUAAAAUCUGCUCAAUGAUAUUUAAAUAGCCGCAGAAUUUUAACUGUGCUAAGGUAGCAUAAUCAUUUACCUCUUAAUUGGAGGUUUGUAUGAAAGAUUUUACAUUUAAAUUAUUUUUUUAUUAAAUUAAAUUCAAAUUUUAUUAAAAAUAAAAAUAUUUUUAUAAAUAAAAAAGACGACAAGACCCUAUUGAACUUUACUUAAGUUAAGCUGGGGAAGCUAAUUAAAUACUAUUUUAAUAAUCUUAUUAAGAUAAAUUUCUGGAAACCCAAUUUUGAAUAAGUUACCAUAGGGAUAACAGCGUAAUAAUUUUUAAAAGUUCUUAUUUAAAAAAAAGUUUACGACCUCGAUGUUGAAUUAAGUUUACUUUAAAACGCAAUAGUAUUAAAAGUAGGUCUGUUCGACCUUUAAAUUUUUACAU
Molecule: ribosomal RNA, 442 nt
Filed under: Fusciphantes hibanus
Lineage: Eukaryota; Metazoa; Arthropoda; Arachnida; Araneae; Linyphiidae
Description: partial 16S ribosomal RNA
Source: RNAcentral